CUUGCUUGCGUUUAUGUACUGC
This 22-nucleotide microRNA is filed under the name Callorhinchus milii (elephant shark). RNAcentral describes it as "eshark_mir-754_1". The record is from RNAcentral. Lineage: Eukaryota; Metazoa; Chordata; Chondrichthyes; Chimaeriformes; Callorhinchidae.